GCUUUGGGGGAGGGGCAGGAAAGGAGGAGCCAGAGGAGGUGUCUGCUGCAAGUUCCUGGCUGCUUCUGAGCUCACCCCAUCCUCCGAGAGGGAGGAGGCCAAGUGGUGAUGCCGCUGCUCCUGCCGCCUCGACUGCUGAUGCUCUAGUGAGGCUGGAAGGGUGGUUCCUCUUAGCACCAUCGCCAACCAGAGAGUGAGGGAACAAAAUCCCAGCAGCAGUGCUGAUGUUGCGUUCGGAGGCUGCAUCCGACACGGUCACAAGGAAAAUGGAUUCAGUUUGCAUCUUUCCCUCCCUUCAACAGCUUCUCCAGGUCUCAGCAUGGGCUUCUAGGGCAGCACCUGAGGAGACCUUACCAAGGAGCACCACGCAGUAGAUGCUGAAAACAUCGCACCCACGAUACAAAGCAGUAACAUGGCAGCACCUGUUUGAAAGGCAUUCACAAACAAGACUCCCUUCAGAAAGGAACAAUGUCUAAGAAAGGGCGAAAUAAGGGCGAGAAGCCCGAAGCGCUCAUCGUCGCCCUUCAAGCUGCCAAUGAAGAUCUCAGGACCAAGCUCACAGAUAUCCAGAUAGAGCUGCAUCAAGAGAAGUCCAAGGUGUCUAAGCUUGAAAGAGAGAAGACUCAAGAAGCAAAGAGGAUCCGUGAGCUGGAGCAGCGCAAGCACACGGUCCUGGUGACGGAACUCAAAGCCAAGCUCCAUGAGGAGAAGAUGAAGGAGCUGCAGGCUGUGAGGGAGAAUCUCAUCAAGCAGCAUGAGCAAGAAAUGUCAAGGACAGUGAAGCUGCGGGAUGGAGAGAUCCAGAGGCUCAAGUCGGCCCUGUGUGCUCUCCGGGACGGCAGCAGUGACAAAGUAAGGACAGCGCUCACCAUUGAGGCCCGGGAGGAGGCCCGGAAGCUGUUUGAUGCCGAGCGCCUUAAGCUCUUACAGGAAAUUGCGGACCUGAAAACUGCCAAGAAGCAGGUGGACGAGGCUCUAAGCAAUAUGAUCCAGGCAGAUAAGAUCAAGGCCGGCGACCUUAGGAGUGAGCACCAGUCCCACCAGGAAGCCAUCUCCAAGAUCAAGUGGGAAUCAGAGCGGGACAUUCGGAGGCUGAUGGAUGAGAUUAAAGCCAAGGACAGGAUCAUCUUUUCCCUGGAAAAGGAACUGGAGACCCAAACUGGCUAUGUACAGAAACUGCAGCUGCAGAAGGAGGCAUUGGAUGAACAGCUCUUUCUGGUCAAGGAGGCUGAGUGUAACAUGAGCAGUCCGAAACGAGAGAUUCCGGGAAGAGCAGGAGACGGCUCUGAGCACUGCGGCAGCCCUGAUUUGAGAAGAAAUCAGAAGAGAAUAGCUGAAUUGAAUGCCACUAUAAGAAAAUUAGAAGACAGGAACACCCUGCUUGGAGAUGAACGAAACGAACUGUUAAAACGUGUGCGGGAAACCGAGAAACAAUGUAAACCUCUUCUGGAAAGGAACAAGUGCCUCGCCAAGAGGAACGAUGAGCUGAUGGUGUCUUUGCAACGCAUGGAAGAGAAGUUAAAAGCCGUUACUAAGGAAAAUUCAGAAAUGAGAGAAAAAAUAACAUCCCACCCACCCUUAAAGAAAUUAAAAUCUCUGAAUGACCUCGAUCAAGCUAAUGAAGAACAAGAGACAGAGUUUUUAAAACUUCAAGUCAUUGAGCAGCAGAACAUUAUUGAUGAGCUCACAAGGGACCGAGAAAAGCUCAUCCGUAGGAGAAAACAUAGAAGAAGUUCCAAGCCAAUUAAGAGGCCUGUUUUGGAUCCAUUUAUUGGCUAUGAUGAGGACUCCAUGGAUUCAGAGACAUCAUCCAUGGCCUCGUUUAGAACUGACCGAACACCAGCUACUCCUGAUGAUGACUUAGAUGAAAGUUUAGCAGCUGAGGAAUCUGAGCUACGAUUUCGACAAUUAACAAAAGAAUAUCAGGCCCUCCAAAGAGCAUAUGCCCUCCUGCAGGAGCAGACUGGAGGUAUCAUCGAUGCUGAAAGGGAAGCCAAGGCUCAAGAACAGCUGCAAGCAGAGGUGCUAAGGUAUAAAGCCAAAAUUGAAGAUCUGGAAGCGACUCUGGCUCAGAAAGGGCAGGACUCACACUGGGUAGAAGAUAAACAACUUUUCAUUAAGAGAAACCAGGAGCUUUUAGAAAAGAUAGAAAAACAGGAGGCAGAAAAUCACCGGUUACAACAGGAACUGCAGGAUGCCCGAGACCAGAAUGAGCUGCUGGAGUUUCGAAACCUAGAGCUAGAAGAAAGAGAGAGACGAUCCCCUCCAUUUAACCUACAAAUUCACCCAUUCUCUGAUGGUGUAAGUGCUCUACAGAUCUACUGUAUGAAAGAAGGUGUCAAGGAUGUGAACAUCCCUGAUCUCAUAAAGCAGCUUGAUAUCCUGGGUGAUAAUGGGAACUUAAGAAAUGAAGAACAAGUGGCCAUAAUUCAGGCCAGCACUGUGCUGUCCCUGGCAGAAAAGUGGAUCCAGCAAAUUGAAGGAGCAGAGGCUGCCCUACACCAGAAAAUGAUGGAAUUGGAAAGUGACAUGGAACAGUUCUGCAAAAUAAAAGGCUACCUAGAGGAAGAACUAGACUACAGAAAACAAGCUCUCGACCAAGCAUAUAUGAGAAUCCAGGAGCUAGAAGCUACUUUGUACAAUGCUCUGCAGCAAGAAACUGUUAUCAAGUUUGGUGAAUUGUUAAGUGAAAAACAGCAAGAGGAGCUGAGGACAGCAGUAGAAAAGUUACGGCGGCAGAUGCUGAGGAAGAGCAGAGAGUAUGACUGUCAGAUUCUUCAGGAGAGAAUGGAGCUCUUACAGCAAGCCCAUCAGAGAAUUCGUGACUUAGAAGAUAAAACAGACAUCCAGAAACGACAGAUAAAGGACUUAGAAGAAAAGUUUCUGUUUCUAUUCUUGUUCUUCUCUCUUGCCUUUAUUCUAUGGCCUUGAUGUCAAGGUGCCUCUUAAAGGGAAUCCCCAGGUCAAGACCUCAGAGUGGAGUCUACAUGCCACUGGAUACAAUUGUUGAGGAGGAAAUAUGACAUAAAAAGUAACCGAAAACACGGAUAAGACCCCAGAAAGGCAAAUGCUUCUAGACCUUCAAAGAUGGCAGAAAUGUUUACAACAGUGAGAGGGAGAUCAAAAGCUAAGAACUACCCUGUAGCCAGGACUACAACUGUGUAUUUUAAAGCCAUUAUUCAAGGUUUCUUACUUGACAGUUCCCACAUGACCCUGUUGAAAAUCUACAAUAUAUGCUGCAUUUAAUGAAACAUGUAUAUGUCAAACCAGAAGAAAAGAACUAUAAACGUAUAUUAUGUAAAGAAAAAGUUCAGCAAUGGAAACAGUUUCAGCAGAUCAAGGAAAGAUGUGUCUUGGGCAUGGAACCAAAGUUACAAAGAAACACUGUCCCUCUGCUGUGCAGGGGGAUCAUUUUAAUGUAACACCACACCCCAUGGAAACACUAGUCCUGAAAUAAACAUUUUCAAAAAUCAAAACAAAGGAAAAAACAAGGGCGGGUGGGGAAUGAAGCACGAGGAAUACCUAUGAGGAGCUAUUUACAAUAAAAUGUUUCAUUUGAAAAGUCUGGUUUCUUACUACAGGGAUUUGCUUUUUGUCUUUAUUGUUGUUUAAAACUCAGGAACAGAGCCGCCUGCAAUGUGAAUGGGAAGGAAAGCAGUCUCCCGUUUGUUUCUCUUCCAGAGGUGGAGCUUGUGGAUGCAUUCCACAGAGGACAGAUGAGAGCGCACCACAAUGACCCCCACUCAACGGGCAACAAGGCGGAGGACCUAGGCGAAUGUAACAUAAGAAAUAAAAGCAGAUUUGAUGCUGCCUUGGCCUUCUGCCACAUCUGUCUUCCUCCACGAACAGACUGAUCUCAUUCAUAUUGAAAAUUAAGAAGAUGAUGCCCUGAAUCACAAGUUCCCUGACUCGGUUCUGUUAACAAUGCUACCAUCUAUCUCUAGGGCACACGGGCCCGAGAGCAUCUCUGAAUCCAUUUCCAAAAUACUGGUUUUCAAAUGGCUGCUUAAAAUUGCCUGCAAAUAAAUAUGUUAUACUGUUUGAAUAAAAACACAGUAGAGGUGAAAAGUAAACUUCUACCAACAGCUGAGUUUGCCACAGAGAUGCAAAAGAUCAACAAAAUUUUGAUUUUUUUUAAAGUAUCCUGAUAUGCCUAGAGCAUUCUGACCUCUUGUCGUUUAGACUGAUAACAUUUUUUCCCCCAGAGAGCUGACAGCAACAAGACAGCUCUACUUUUUUUUUUAUAUA
Molecule: RNA transcript, 4248 nt
Organism: Mustela erminea (ermine)
Lineage: Eukaryota; Metazoa; Chordata; Mammalia; Carnivora; Mustelidae
Gene: JAKMIP2
Gene name: janus kinase and microtubule interacting protein 2
Exons: 23
Source: RefSeq, a predicted model, not a curated record